RNAcentral lists this ribosomal RNA (426 nucleotides) under uncultured bacterium. RNAcentral describes it as "bacterial SSU rRNA". It matches the Rfam family "Bacterial small subunit ribosomal RNA", at positions 83 to 507 of the family's 1533-position model. The record is from RNAcentral.
CGGACCAAGAGACCCGCGCACGGGUGCGUAACGCGUAUGCAAUCUACCUUUGCAGAGGGAUAGCCCAGAGAAAUUUGGAUUAGUACCUCAUAGUAUAGUACUUUGGCAUCAAGGAACUAUUAAAGUCACAACGGCAAAAGAUGAGCAUGCGUCCCAUUAGCUAGUUGGUAAGGUAACGGCUUACCAAGGCAACGAUGGGUAGGGGUCCUGAGAGGGAGAUCCCCCACACUGGUACUGAGACACGGACCAGACUCCUACGGGAGGCAGCAGUGAGGAAUAUUGGACAAUGGGCGCAAGCCUGAUCCAGCCAUGCCGCGUGCAGGAUGACGGUCCUAUGGAUUGUAAACUGCUUUUUGUACAGGAAGAAACACUGGUUCGUGAACCAGCUUGACGGUACUGUAAGAAUAAGGAUCGGCUAACUCCGUG